CUUGCCGCCUUCUCUGCCUGUUAGUCAUGCUGAAAACACGAGGCAGGAGGGAAAGGCAGCAUGAUUCACAGACUGGAGGGUGACAGUGACCAGAGCAAGUUUAACCUUUUAAAGAGGAAGGAUCUGUUGCUUGGCUACCAGGCAACAAGGAAGGCUACUCAGAGAGGGGUCCCCACAAGGGAUGAGGGACAAGUUGCCUAACCCUGUGGCAGACGGCUCUGCUUCUCUUCAUGCGACGGGGUCUAUGUUGCCAGGCCGGUCUCCAACUCUUGGGCUCAAGCUCUCCUUCUGUCUUGGACUCCCAAAGUGCUGAGAUUACAGGCGUGAGCUACCAUCCCUGCCCUGCUUGCUCCCCCAAAAAAACUACUUCAACAAAAUGUUUACGUGUGCUUACUGAUGUUUCCUCCCCAACUACUGAAUUUAUCCUUUGCUGAGCAUUACUUGAAAUUGUCAAAAGCUGGAAGUAAUGCAAAAAGAUGACUGCUUGUCCUCUUGAUGUUCUACUGUGAUGUGUCUAACAGGCCCACCAAAAUUUAUUUCAUUCACUAUAAGAAACGAGUCUUUGCUUGCCUUCAUAUUGACUAUAUAUUAGAGCCUGG
Molecule: long non-coding RNA, 599 nt
Filed under: Homo sapiens (human)
Lineage: Eukaryota; Metazoa; Chordata; Mammalia; Primates; Hominidae
Description: PREDICTED lncRNA (TCONS_00010594)
Source: RNAcentral